UCAGGUCUAGUCGGGAAACGGGAAUUGAAGAGCGGGCCGCUGCUGCUGCUGCUGCUGCUGUGUUAGGAGGGAACUUGGCGACAAUGGCUACUGUCAAGUAGUAAUAAUGACAUUGCGGAGUGCGGUGCUCUGGGACUGGGUCCGGGACCUCGAUCGGGGGGAGGACCCGUGGUGGGGUGGUGCGCAGCGGCUAGGUGCCGCCGGGGAGCGGACGGCGUGUUAUGUAUACUAUGCAACGCCUCCGCGAUCCGGGGCACCCGCGGUGCUUGCCUGCCUGCUUGUCCUGUCUUGUCCUAUCUUCACCGCAGUGAAGAGAGUACGCGUGCCGCGCCUCCUUACCCCCCUCGCAUUCCUCCAACCGUAUUCCUCUUAGCCGGUCGUCUUUUCCUUCCUCCGAGGCCCUCUUCUUCAACCUCCUGCCCUCCCGCCGUCCCACCGUCGUUGC
This 445-nucleotide long non-coding RNA is filed under the name Volvox carteri. RNAcentral's name for it is "long non-coding RNA (VCAR_LNC002509)". Lineage: Eukaryota; Viridiplantae; Chlorophyta; Chlorophyceae; Chlamydomonadales; Volvocaceae. The record is from RNAcentral.